RNAcentral lists this ribosomal RNA (294 nucleotides) under uncultured bacterium. Its description in RNAcentral is "partial 16S ribosomal RNA". It matches the Rfam family "Bacterial small subunit ribosomal RNA", at positions 775 to 1067 of the family's 1533-position model. The record is from RNAcentral.
GGAUUAGAUACCCUGGUAGUCCACGCCGUAAACGAUGUGUGCUAGCUGUCGGGACUUAGGUUUCGGUGGCGGAGAGAAAUUUUUAAGCACACCGCCUGGGGAGUACGGCCGCAAGGUUAAAACUCAAAGGAAUUGACGGGGACCCGCACAAGCGGUGGAGCAUGUUCAUUAAUUCGAAGCAACGCGAAGAACCUUACCUACACUUGACAUCCUUCUUGGGACUUUCAGAGAUGAUUGUCUUCGGUUCGGCCGGGGAAGUGACAGGUGCUGCAUGGCUGUCGUCAGCUCGUGCCG